RNAcentral lists this microRNA precursor (85 nucleotides) under Chrysemys picta bellii (western painted turtle). RNAcentral describes it as "miRNA (ENSCPBG00000002217.1)". It matches the Rfam family "mir-17 microRNA precursor family". Rfam says of the family: This family represents the microRNA (miRNA) precursor mir-17, family, which includes mir-20, mir-91, and mir-103. miRNAs are transcribed as ~70nt precursors (modelled here) and subsequently processed by the Dicer enzyme to give a ~22nt product. In this case the mature sequence comes from the 3' arm of the precursor. The extents of the hairpin precursors are not generally known and are estimated based on hairpin prediction. The record is from RNAcentral. Lineage: Eukaryota; Metazoa; Chordata; Testudines; Emydidae. RNAcentral also lists the same sequence under 1 other name.
UCCCAGAGGCUCCAAAGUGCUGUUCGUGCAGGUAGCGUGUGCAGCCGACUACUGCCGAGUCAGCGCUUCGCGAGCCCCCCGGACA